UGGGGAAUCUUGCGCAAUGGGGGAAACCCUGACGCAGCGACGCCGCGUGCGGGAUGAAGGCCUUCGGGUUGUAAACCGCUUUCAGCAGGGACGAGGCCUUAUGGUGACGGUACCUGCAGAAGAAGCUCCGGCUAAAUACGUGCCAGCAGCCGCGGUAAUAUGUAUGGAGCAAGCGUUAUCCGGAUUCAUUGGGCGUAAAGCGCUCGUAGGCGGUCUGUUAGGUCGGCAAGUUAAAUCCGGGGGCUCAACCCCCGUCCGCUUCCGAUACCGUCAGACUUGAGUUUGGUAGUGGAAGGUGGAAUUCCUAGUGUAUCGGUGGAAUGCGCAGAUAUUAGGAAGAACACCGGUGGCGAAGGCGGCCUUCUGGGCCAUAACUGACACUGAGGAGCGAAAGCUAGGGGAGCGAACAGG
RNAcentral lists this ribosomal RNA (411 nucleotides) under Verrucomicrobiota bacterium. RNAcentral describes it as "Verrucomicrobia bacterium partial 16S ribosomal RNA". It matches the Rfam family "Bacterial small subunit ribosomal RNA", at positions 355 to 776 of the family's 1533-position model. The record is from RNAcentral. Lineage: Bacteria; Pseudomonadati; Verrucomicrobiota.